CUUUCCUUUGCUGUGGUUAUGGCCCUGAGUCCUUAAAUUAUAGGCUCUCCUGCAGUUUCAAAAAGCUAAUUCACACUACUGUGUGCAUUAGAAAGGUGGUAUAUAUGAUAUUCCACUAAGGGAAACCCUAGGAACAUUAAACUCCUACUAGUAACUGGUCACGAGUCAGGGCUAGAACUGACACUAGUCAUUUUUCUUCACUGACAAGUUUUCAUUAUGUGGCUUUCCCAGAACAAUUUAGAAAUUGAUCUGCAACUGAUGGAAGCUGGGAUGAAUUGGGCGCAUAAGUGAACCCAAAGCAUCAGAGCAAAGUCAAAGCGAACAUCUGGCUCCAGCUUUGAGUACAAGGAGAGAUUUGUGUAUGAUUGAGAGCAAGGAAAAAAGGCUUUGAAGGGGAAUUCAAAUAUUGAAGACACAAGAGAAAAAAUAAAUAAUAAAAUACUGUGAUCUCUUUGAAAUUGAGAAUGAAGUGAAAUGAAAGAAAUAUAAAAAGCUAGUUUGGCCCUGUAGGAAAGAUGAUCUGUUCUUCCUCUGACACAGAAAGGAAGGAAGAAAGAACAUGCUGGAAGCAGAGCAAAGAAGAGAGACUUGUGUUUCCAUGGAAUAAUCUUGGGAUCCAUGUGGAGUGCAAGAGAUUGGAACAGAAGGAGUUCUCAAAAAAUAAAAACUUCGGGCGGGUGCGGUGGCUCACGCCUGUAAUCCCAGGACUUUGGGAGGCCGAGGUGGGCGGAUCACGAGGUCAGGAGAUCGAGACCAUCCUGGCUAACAUGGUGAAACCCCAUCUCUACUAAAAAUACAAAAAAAAAAAAAAAAAAAAAUAGCUGGGCGUGGUGGCAGGUGCCUGUAGUUCCAGCUACUUGGGAGGCUGAGGCAGGAGAAUGGCGUGAACAUGGGAGGUGGAGCUUGCAGUGAGCCUAGAUUGCGCCACUGCACUCCAGCCUGGACGACAGAGUGAGACUCCAUCUCAAAAAAUAAAUAAAUAAAUAAAUAAAUAAAUAAAUAAUAAAAAAUUCUUGUUUGCUCUA
Molecule: long non-coding RNA, 1025 nt
Filed under: Homo sapiens (human)
Lineage: Eukaryota; Metazoa; Chordata; Mammalia; Primates; Hominidae
Description: HSALNT0309164
Source: RNAcentral